UACGGGGGGGGCAAGCGUUGUUCGGAAUUACUGGGCGUAAAGGGUCUGUAGGUGGCCAACUAAGUCAGACGUGAAAUCCCUCAGCUUAACUGGGGAACUGCGUCUGAUACUGGAUGGCUUGAGUUUGGGAGAGGGAUGCGGAAUUCCAGGUGUAGCGGUGAAAUGCGUAGAUAUCUGGAGGAACACCGGUGGCGAAGGCGGCAUCCUGGACCGACACUGACACUGAGGAGCGAAAGCCAGGGGAGCAAACGGG
This 253-nucleotide ribosomal RNA is filed under the name uncultured bacterium. RNAcentral describes it as "partial 16S ribosomal RNA". It matches the Rfam family "Bacterial small subunit ribosomal RNA", at positions 524 to 776 of the family's 1533-position model. The record is from RNAcentral.